GGAGUGUCCACCCUGGACAACAUGACCAUGUUGUCACCCUGCACAAUAUCUGCAUAAAGGCCCAGACUCCUUUAUUGCCAUAUGAAACUAUAAUUUUGACUGCGAGAAUGCUGCCAACAUUUCAGGCAUUCUGUAGAAUCUGCCCACUAUUUACUGGAAUGAACCAGAGCCAACUUAACCCGAUAAUUAAUUGUUUAUCAACAGACUGGAGCUUGAUAAAUACAGAGGGACAAGAGGCAGGAGAAUUCUGGACAGAAGACAACAGAUGCCCAGCGAGGGCCCCACCCUCAAGACUGGAACCACGGCCCAAAGUGGAACAAACAUUCCUGUUUUCCCUCUUGAAUGUUGCCUUAUCCAAAACCACCCACGGCCUGCCCUGCCCCCCAUCCUGUGCCCGUAAAAACCCCAGG
Long non-coding RNA from Gorilla gorilla gorilla (western lowland gorilla), 410 nucleotides. RefSeq lists it as uncharacterized. Lineage: Eukaryota; Metazoa; Chordata; Mammalia; Primates; Hominidae. The transcript is spliced from 3 exons. The record is from RefSeq and is a predicted model, not a curated record.